ACCCAGACUCCUACGGGAGGCAGCAGUGGGGAAUAUUGGGCAAUGGGCGCAAGCCUGACCCAGCAACGCCGCGUGAAGGAAGAAGGCCUUCGGGUCGUAAACUUCUGUCCUUGGGGAAGAAGAACUGACGGUACCCAAGGAGGAAGCCCCGGCUAACUACGUGCCAGCAGCCGCGGUAAUACGUAGGGGGCAAGCGUUAUCCGGAAUUAUUGGGCGUAAAGAGUACGUAGGUGGCAACCUAAGCGCAGGGUUUAAGGCAAUGGCUCAACCAUUGUUCGCCCUGCGAACUGGGAUGCUUGAGUGCAGGAGAGGAAAGCGGAAUUCCUAGUGUAGCGGUGAAAUGCGUAGAUAUUAGGAGGAACACCAGUGGCGAAGGCGGUCUGCUGGACAGCAACUGACGGUGAGGCGCGAAAGCGUGGGGAGCAAACAGGAUUAGAUACCCCCGUACUG
RNAcentral lists this ribosomal RNA (450 nucleotides) under uncultured bacterium. RNAcentral describes it as "partial 16S ribosomal RNA". It matches the Rfam family "Bacterial small subunit ribosomal RNA", at positions 329 to 793 of the family's 1533-position model. The record is from RNAcentral.